RNAcentral lists this ribosomal RNA (239 nucleotides) under uncultured bacterium. RNAcentral's name for it is "partial 16S ribosomal RNA". It matches the Rfam family "Bacterial small subunit ribosomal RNA", at positions 96 to 334 of the family's 1533-position model. The record is from RNAcentral.
CGGCGGACGGGUGAGUAACGCGUGGGUAACCGUGCCUCAUACAGGGGGAUAACAGUUGGAAACGGCUGCUAAUACCGCAUAAGCGCACAGUACCGCAUGGUACCGUGUGAAAAACUCCGGUGGUAUGAGAUGGACCCGCGUCUGAUUAGCUAGUUGGUGGGGUAACGGCCUACCAAGGCGACGAUCAGUAGCCGACCUGAGAGGGUGAUCGGCCACAUUGGAACUGAGACACGGUCCAA